This is a long non-coding RNA of Oreochromis aureus, 759 nucleotides long. Lineage: Eukaryota; Metazoa; Chordata; Actinopteri; Cichliformes; Cichlidae. The record is from Ensembl.
GAGAGGAGAGAGUGAGUGAGAGGGACAGAGAGGUAGCAGUCAGCAACAUGUAGCCUCGCCGAGUGGAGGAAAGGUCGAAACUGUGUGUGCGCGAUUCUUUGCUCUUUUCUUUUUUGUCGGGAGGGGUGAUAUGUUUCGCUUUCAUCCCGAGGACAUUAUCCCGCAACAUUAGAAUCGAUCAGGCUCUAUGCCGCAGGAAAUGUCCAGCGGAGGGAUGGACGGAUGGAUUGUGGUGCACGGAGAGAAGACGCGGAGAGCAAAAAGAGAAGAAAAAGAGUGCGGGGCUCCUGAAAACAGGAAAUAGAAGUCUUUCAGAUGCGUGAAACAACUAGAUAGGAGUGUGGAUAUGGAUUCCUCUCUUACUUAAAUGCUCACAGGGUCUCUUCUCCUCAUCAGGUGAAGCACUGUGAACCGCCGACCCCCUCACCACCCUCCCUCCUCUCCUCCUCCCCUCUUUCCCUAGAGGCACCACCCACUACCCUUAAAUCCCCAAACCCCACCUGCCAACACCUGCCAAACUCCCUCCGACAGCUGCAACUGGCCCCCCUUUUACCCCAUGGUGGCCCCAAGGCCCGCCCUCUCACUGCUAUUGGCUGUCCUGGCCUGUACGGGGCCCGCACGCCCCUCGCCCCCCCUGCUUCUCCGGCCCCGGGAGAGAGAGAGGGACUCAGGUGGUGUCAACAUCGCCGUGGUCCACUCGGGCUCCUCCCUGCUCCCGGAGACCGCGGUGGUGGGAGGCGCGGGGGUCGGGGAGCCGGG